UUUGAAUCUUAUAAUAAGAAAGAGUUUCAAAAUCUGACAUUUUGCCAAUCAUGAUUUUAGAUCUAAUUAGAAACAUGUUAUAGAAUUAAUAUUUAGAUUUAUUUUUCCAUUAUGAUUAGGUAAUUAAACAUGUUAAAUAUGAUUGCUUGAUUGAUUUGCCAUUUGUUAGUUUACUAUAUUUAGGAUUUCUAUUAGUUUAGAAUUUUGAUCGUUCAAUUGACUCUUGUUGCUUUUACUUUAAUAAUUUUAUCCUAUUUUCUUUUAUUCUAAUCGAUUUUAAUAUUUGUGCAUGUGAAAUUCCAUUCUAGGGAUGUAAAAAUGUACUGACGAACAAUGAAAACCAACCUGGAAAUCCUAGAUUUGAUCGGUUGUUCAUGCCCAGCCCAUAUUUGUUUUUUGCAUUUUUGGAUAUUUUUUGAUGUAUUCUGGCAUCUGUAUAGUUUUUAGGUCUUUUUCUUUCGCAAUCGUAGUUGUAGGCUGGGUUUUACUUUCUACUUUAUUUUGUUUAUUUUGUUUAUUAUAUGGUUAAUUAAAUGAUUGAUUAAUUAAAAUGGGCCAUAUAGAUUUAGGCCUAAACUUGGAUCCAACAUGAAUAUGGUAGUCUAAUAGGCUAAUUAACAUUAACUGGGCCUAAAAUCUUAAAAUCUAAUAGAUUUAGCGGACUUUGGCAUGCUUAGUUAGGGUUUGGACUUAAUUAGAAUUAGGAUCACACUGAAUGGGCCUCAUCAUAAUAAGUAAUCCAUCAGGUCUAAAGGCUGGAAAUCCAGAGCAUAACGUAGAAUUGGGCUAGACUAGGUGGGCUAUAUACAUAAUUAACUAGUAAAUUAGGCUAACUAUUCUAAUACGGGGUAGGCUUGAAUAAAAAUGGGUUAGACUUAGGUGUAUUAUGUGUGUUAUUUGAUAUGCCUGUGUAUAAAUUGCUUGCAUUUAUAUGGAAUAAUUUGUUAAAUAGUAAAAUUAAAGACUAAUAUACACAAAUAAGGAAGUUGGCUUCCAGAUCCAUCUUUGGACUUUAUAGCAUAAGCUUCCUUAUGGAAUCUAAGAGACGCCACUCAUUAGUAAAAGUGUCCCGGUGAUUACCCAGGUGGCGACUCCCAUAUCUGCGCUAGUCUUAGUGACUAGUUGACAUGUUUCCGAUUAGGUUGAAAAGCCUUAUAAUGCCAUAGUCGCUAAAGAUACUUAUGUGCACGCCCAAAACCGCCGCCCACAGCGGGAGUAAGAGGAUCUAUGGCUUUGGCAUGCUGUUCAUGUGAGUUCUGCUCUAUCUUUUAUCUCUGUCUCUUCCUUCUUUCAUUUUCAUGACUACUGAUUUUUGUUUUCCAAGCCUAGGCUUUGGAGAUCGGCCUUCUAGUGGGCUUACAGCCCAUCUGUAUGUCACGGACCUUCCCUCACUUGAUUCGUUGGGGCUCGAGCAGGAGUGUCAUACUCGUGAUUUAUGUAUAUGGUUACUUACCUUACAGUUUUACAGUUUCAAAGCUAUUGGCUGGGGG
This 1490-nucleotide long non-coding RNA is filed under the name Ricinus communis (castor bean). Its description in RNAcentral is "long non-coding RNA (RCOM_LNC000596)". The record is from RNAcentral. Lineage: Eukaryota; Viridiplantae; Streptophyta; Magnoliopsida; Malpighiales; Euphorbiaceae.